AAUUCGCCCUUAGAGUUUGAUCCUGGCUCAGGAUGAACGCUGGCGGCGUGCCUAACACAUGCAAGUCGAACGAUGAAACCGCCCCCGGGCGGACAUGAAGUGGCGAACGGGUGAGUAACACGUGGAGAACCUGCCCCCUCCCCCGGGAUAGCCGCCCGAAAGGACGGGUAAUACCGGAUACCCCGGGGUGCCGCAUGGCACCCCGGCUAAAGCCCCGACGGGAGGGGAUGGCUCCGCGGCCCAUCAGGUAGACGGCGGGGUGACGGCCCACCGUGCCGACAACGGGUAGCCGGGUUGAGAGACCGACCGGCCAGAUUGGGACUGAGACACGGCCCAGACUCCUACGGGAGGCAGCAGUGGGGAAUCUUGCGCAAUGGGGGGAACCCUGACGCAGCGACGCCGCGUGCGGGACGGAGGCCUUCGGGUCGUAAACCGCUUUCAGCAGGGAAGAGUCAAGACUGUACCUGCAGAAGAAGCCCCGGCUAACUACGUGCCAGCAGCCGCGGUAAUACGUAGGGGGCGAGCGUUAUCCGGAUUCAUUGGGCGUAAAGCGCGCGUAGGCGGCCCGGCAGGCCGGGGGUCGAAGCGGGGGGCUCAACCCCCCGAAGCCCCCGGAACCUCCGCGGCUUGGUCCGGUAGGGGAGGGUGGAACACCCGGUGUAGCGGUGGAAUGCGCAGAUAUCGGGUGGAACACCGGUGGCGAAGGCGGCCCUCUGGGCCGAGACCGACGCUGAGGCGCGAAAGCUGGGGGAGCGAACAGGAUUAGAUACCCUGGUAGUCCCAGCCGUAAACGAUGGACGCUAGGUGUGGGGGGACGAUCCCCCCGUGCCGCAGCCAACGCAUUAAGCGUCCCGCCUGGGGAGUACGGCCGCAAGGCUAAAACUCAAAUGAAU
This 893-nucleotide ribosomal RNA is filed under the name uncultured bacterium. RNAcentral describes it as "bacterial SSU rRNA". It matches the Rfam family "Bacterial small subunit ribosomal RNA", at positions 1 to 910 of the family's 1533-position model. The record is from RNAcentral.